UUCCACACUUUAUAUCCUCGGCUUGGCUUUAUCGCCCCCUACAAAGACCUAGCCAAGGGCAUGUUUCUGAGAAAUGACCUGAGAAGACAGAGACGGACUGCAGUGGCCCCUAUAACCCUCCCAGGGGGCCACCCUCCCUGUGUUUUAUCUCCUUCCAGUGGCAGCACCCAGUGCCCAACAUGCAGGAGCUGGAUCCCAGAGAUGAAGAAACAGACUUAAAGAAGGGAAGUGACUUGGCAAAGCCACAUGGAUUAAAAGGGUUGAAGCCAAGAACAAAAGCUUGGAAGUCAGAGGAGUCUGCUCCCUCCACUGUAUUGGGUUCUCUAUCUACAAGCAGAGGAGCCUGAAGAAGGAAUGAGUUGAUUGGAAAGUAAUAUGUUCCCUGUUAUUGAAGGUGACCACCUGUCAAUGAUUCCAUGGAAAAGACUCAAGAAAAACAAAUUGGUAGAUCUUUGGAGUUAGGAUCUUAGACUCUAAAAUCAUACGCCACUUCAGUAACUCAUUGGCUGAGAUUUGCUUGUUUGUUUAUUUCCUUUUUGCUGUUUUAUAGACCUACUGUAGUCUAAGUGUUUGUCAUAGGGCCAGGUCCCUGUAAUGCAUGCCCAAGAAAUGACUUGGCUCUUAAAAAGGACUACAGUCAUCUGUGAUGGCCCCAAAUGUCCUCCCAGUCCUCAGAUGCACAGGCAGUUACUUGUCUCUCACUCAUCACACAUGGGGCAAGACUUCCUUCCCCCAUCCUUGAGAUUUCUUACAAUCAGCUUUGGCUUUAAGUCUCUGUCCCCAGACACUUGCCAACCCCCAAGAGCUCAUCUUUCAGUCCCAAACUUGGUAUGGAGGAAUUCCAUGCUGGGUGAAAGCUAGGAUUGCCAAAAAGCACAGAAGAGGAACACCCAUGGAAGUUGCAGAGGUCUUGCUUCUUGGAAAAGAAAGAGCAUAACUUUGGAUUUAAAUCUGGCAUCUCUCACUGCUUGAUGGAGUACUUUAGUAAGUCUCUUAAUAUCUUUCAGCCUCAGUUCAAAGACCAUUGAGUGAUAUUAUCAACACCUCACAAAGCUAUGCAAAAUCUAGAAGGCCACACACAUACAUAUGACAUUGUACCUGCUUAGGGCUGUAUAAAUGCUCAGAAAGACUUGAAAAGACCCUAAGCUCUCACCUCUGACUAAAUUUGAGGCACUGAGCAAACAGGAAGUGAAAGCUAAGGCAGAGUAGGUUUUUUAUUUUUUGAGAUGGAGUCUUGCUCUGUCACCCAGGCUGGAGUGCAGUGGCGUGAUCUCGGCUCACUGCAAGCUCCGCCUCCCAGGUUCAAAGAGUCUCCUGCCUCAGCAUCUGGAGUAGCUGGAAUUAUAGGCACCUGCCACCACGCCUGGCUAAUUUUUUUUUUUUUUUGUAUUUUUAUUAAAGAUGAGGUUUCACUAUGUUGGCCAGUCUGGUCUCAAACUCCUAACCACAAGUGAUCCACCCACCUUGGCCUACCAAAGUGCUGGGAUUACAGGUGUGAGCCACCACGUCCAGCCCACUAGGGCAGAGUUGUAAACAGCCCUUCUGUUGUUGAAAGUGAGCCCCAACACACAGAGCUCCCUGGCAAAGACUGAAAGACUUACUGGCCCCAAGUGUCUGAGGAAAUUUCUAUCCAGUCACUAGCUAAACACUAAGCUGAUAAGAGAUUUCAGUGGCCACAUGUGACAAAAAAUGCAGACUUUACAGAAUUAUCUUGUAAAAGUCAUUAAACCUGAACAUAAAAGCAAAUAAAAUGCAACAACAAAAUUUGCAUGGAGAAUCUGCUUUUCAGGAUUGCCAUAUUAUAUUAUUUAAAAUGUCCAGCUUCCCUAUCAUCAGAGUGAACAGGCAACCUACAGAAUGGGAGAAAAUUUUUGCAAUCUAUCCAUCUGACAAAGGGCUAAUAUCCAGAAUCUACAGAGAACUUAAACAAAUUUACAAGAAAAAUACGAACAACCCCAUCAAAAUGUGGGCAAAGGAUAUGAACAGACACUUCACAAAGAAGACAUUUAUGUGGCCAACAAACUUAAGCAAAAAGCUCAUCAUCUCUGCUCAUUAGAGAAAUGCAAAUCAAAACCACAAUGAGAUACCAUCUCACACCAGUUAGAAAGGCAAUCAUUAAAAAGCCAGGAAACAACAGAUGCUGGAGAGGAUGCGGAGAAAUAGAAACGCUUUUACACUGUUGCUGGAAGUGUAAAUUAGUUCAACCAUUGUAGAAGAUAGUGUGGUGAUUCCUCAAGGAUCUAGAACCAGAAAUACCAUUUGACCCAGCAAUCCUAUUGGGUAUACACCCAAAGGAUUAUUAAUCAUUCUACUAUAAAGACACAUGCGCACAUAUGUUUAUUG
This 2343-nucleotide long non-coding RNA is filed under the name Homo sapiens (human). RNAcentral describes it as "HSALNT0239648". Lineage: Eukaryota; Metazoa; Chordata; Mammalia; Primates; Hominidae. The record is from RNAcentral.